Gadus morhua (Atlantic cod) is the source of this 56-nucleotide microRNA precursor. Lineage: Eukaryota; Metazoa; Chordata; Actinopteri; Gadiformes; Gadidae. The record is from Ensembl.
GGCCCCAGGUAGAGCGCCUUCACCGCGGACGCUGAAGGAGCUCUACCUGGGGCCCA